This 323-nucleotide ribosomal RNA is filed under the name uncultured eukaryote. RNAcentral describes it as "partial 18S ribosomal RNA". It matches the Rfam family "Eukaryotic small subunit ribosomal RNA", at positions 1470 to 1796 of the family's 1831-position model. The record is from RNAcentral.
CCCUUAGAUGUUCUGGGCUGCACGCGCGCUACACUGACAUACUCAGCAAGUUUCCUUUCCCGAAAGGUCUGGGUAAUCUCCAAAUUUCGUCGUGAUGGGGAUAGAUUAUUGCAAUUAUUAAUCUUCAACGAGGAAUGCCUAGUAAGCGCAAGUCAUCAGCUUGCGUUGAUUACGUCCCUGCCCUUUGUACACACCGCCCGUCGCUCCUACCGAUUGAAUGGUCCGGUGAAGCGUUCGGACCGUGGCCUUUGGACGGUUCGCCGUCUGUUGGCUGCGGGAAGUUCGUUAAACCUUAUCAUUUAGAGGAAGGAGAAGUCGUAACA